CCGACGUUGAAACAAUCGAUCUUACCCCACUUGGUGGCUCACCCAACUUGCCCCAGCCAUCUUACCCCGACACCAGCGUGUUCGAAACCCCCAACAAUAAAACCCAAGGUUAUGAAGUGAUGUCACAAUCAUCCAUUGUUCCCAUCACAAAGAUGAUGGACAUUAUUGUCAACCUACAGACGCAACUCACCCAUUUAUUGCACAUCACAAGUGAAAACGAAAUCGAGAGACAAAAACUGAAACAAGAAAAUGAAUUUUUUAAAGAACAACUUGAGAAAAAGGACGACGCCCCCGACCCGCCCACGUACGCUGAUGUCCUCCAAGGUUUGUGAACAUCAAUGAAAAAAUCAAAAUCGAUCGAAUCCUGAAACACAUGAUGUCACAACGAUGUCACGCGAUAUCUCUAUUAUGAGGUCACAAACACUCACGUGGCCUCUCGACCAAUCACAGCCUCCCCCCUUGCCUUCAAAGGCGAGGAGGUCAACCGGGUUCUGAUGAUGUCAUAAUUGAUGACAUCAUCGCCAGAGGGGGUUUCCCGGAUAGGGGAUGCACCAAGCGGAUCUUGUGGUGUAUCAGGGCUGAGGAAACCCCGUUAGUUUGGUGCAACUUAGUGAAUUUUUUAUCUUUGUUUGUUUUGUAUCAAUCAGCCUUUGUCGUCCCCCUUUCAUUGUGACAUCACUAUGGGCAUUGUGAGGGAGCGCUUUUCUUAUCAAACAAAAAUGAAUUUCUAUUAAUUUUAUCGUCGUUUUGAUUUUAAACGUUUUAUUUUCGUUUUAAAUCGAAGUUGCCAUGGUUACUCGAUGAUCAUUAUUGCGCAAUAGUUUUACCCACAAUGCAAUUUGCUGCGUUCUGUAUAUUUUGUUCCGAAAAUCAAAUUUUUGUUUUUUUGCUGAAAUCCUGAAAUAUUAAGAUUUCUAUGCCUCAGCCUUUAAAACAAACGUGACGUCAUUUCCGCUUUUUUUCGCGCACGAUUCCGCUAUCGGGACUACGCUUGGCUUGUUGAAAAUAAUAAAACUUAAAUUAUUAAUUUAAA
Non-coding RNA from Ciona intestinalis (vase tunicate), 1033 nucleotides. The record is from RefSeq and is a predicted model, not a curated record. Lineage: Eukaryota; Metazoa; Chordata; Ascidiacea; Phlebobranchia; Cionidae.